GAUGAACGCUCGCGGCAGGCUUAACACAUGCAAGUCGAGGGGCAGCGCGGGAUAGCAAUAUCCUGGCGGCGACCGGCGGAAGGGUGCGUAACGCGUGAGCGACAUGCCCGUUGCCCGGGGACAACCGGUGGAAACGCCGACUAAUCCCCGAUGGGAUAUUGUGCCGCAUGGCACGAUAUUGAAAGUUACGGCGGCGACGGAUUGGCUCGCGUCCGAUUAGCUGGUUGGCGGGGUAACGGCCCACCAAGGCUGCGAUCGGUAGGGGUUCUGAGAGGAAGGCCACCCACAAUGGGACGGAGACACGGCCCAUACUCCUACGGGAGGCAGCAGUGAGGAAUAUUGGUCAAUGGGCGGAAGCCUGAACCAGCCAUGCCGCGUGCGGGAAGGAGGCCCUAUGGGCUGUGAACCGCUUUUGCCUGGGGGCAAUAAGGGCGUCGCGCACGUCCGAUGAGAGUACCAGGCGAAUAAGCAUCGGCUAACUCCGUG
Molecule: ribosomal RNA, 486 nt
Filed under: uncultured bacterium
Lineage: Bacteria
Description: partial 16S ribosomal RNA
Rfam family: Bacterial small subunit ribosomal RNA
Source: RNAcentral